CGAACGAUGAAGCCCAGCUUGCUGGGUGGAUUAGUGGCGAACGGGUGAGUAACACGUGAGCAACCUGCCCCUGACUCUGGGAUAAGCGCUGGAAACGGCGUCUAAUACUGGAUAUGUCCCGUCACCGCAUGGUGUGCGGGUGGAAAGAUUUUUCGGUUGGGGAUGGGCUCGCGGCCUAUCAGCUUGUUGGUGAGGUAAUGGCUCACCAAGGCGUCGACGGGUAGCCGGCCUGAGAGGGUGACCGGCCACACUGGGACUGAGACACGGCCCAGACUCCUACGGGAGGCAGCAGUGGGGAAUAUUGCACAAUGGGCGAAAGCCUGAUGCAGCAACGCCGCGUGAGGGAUGACGGCCUUCGGGUUGUAAACCUCUUUUAGCAGGGAAGAAGCGAAAGUGACGGUACCUGCAGAAAAAGCACCGGCUAACUACGUGCCAGCAGCCGCGGUAAUACGUAGGGUGCAAGCGUUAUCCGGAAUUAUUGGGCGUAAAGAGCUCGUAGGCGGUCUGUCGCGUCUGCUGUGAAAUCCCGAGGCUCAACCUCGGGCUUGCAGUGGGUACGGGCAGACUAGAGUGCGGUAGGGGAGAUUGGAAUUCCUGGUGUAGCGGUGGAAUGCGCAGAUAUCAGGAGGAACACCGAUGGCGAAGGCAGAUCUCUGGGCCGUAACUGACGCUGAGGAGCGAAAGGGUGGGGAGCAAACAGGCUUAGAUACCCUGGUAGUCCACCCCGUAAACGUUGGGAACUAGUUGUGGGGUCCUUUCCACGGAUUCCGUGACGCAGCUAACGCAUUAAGUUCCCCGCCUGGGGAGUACGGCCGCAAGGCUAAAACUCAAAGGAAUUGACGGGGACCCGCACAAGCGGCGGAGCAUGCGGAUUAAUUCGAUGCAACGCGAAGAACCUUACCAAGGCUUGACAUACACGAGAACGGGCCAGAAAUGGUCAACUCUUUGGACACUCGUGAACAGGUGGUGCAUGGUUGUCGUCAGCUCGUGUCGUGAGAUGUUGGGUUAAGUCCCGCAACGAGCGCAACCCUCGUUCUAUGUUGCCAGCACGUAAUGGUGGGAACUCAUGGGAUACUGCCGGGGUCAACUCGGAGGAAGGUGGGGAUGACGUCAAAUCAUCAUGCCCCUUAUGUCUUGGGCUUCACGCAUGCUACAAUGGCCGGUACAAUGGGCUGCGAUACCGUAAGGUGGAGCGAAUCCCAAAAAGCCGGUCCCAGUUCGGAUUGAGGUCUGCAACUCGACCUCAUGAAGUCGGAGUCGCUAGUAAUCGCAGAUCAGCACCGCUGCGGAGAAUACGUUCCCGGGUCUUGUACACAC
This 1317-nucleotide ribosomal RNA is filed under the name Microbacterium sp. LC179. RNAcentral's name for it is "bacterial SSU rRNA". It matches the Rfam family "Bacterial small subunit ribosomal RNA", at positions 63 to 1390 of the family's 1533-position model. The record is from RNAcentral. Lineage: Bacteria; Bacillati; Actinomycetota; Actinomycetes; Micrococcales; Microbacteriaceae.